Long non-coding RNA from Girardinichthys multiradiatus, 1563 nucleotides. RefSeq lists it as uncharacterized. The transcript is spliced from 3 exons. The record is from RefSeq and is a predicted model, not a curated record. NCBI's taxonomy places the organism in Eukaryota, Metazoa, Chordata, Actinopteri, Cyprinodontiformes, Goodeidae.
CCAACAACACAGAUUUGUCUUGAAUAUUCCAGGAAGAGAAGCUUCAACCUGUUUGGAAUUUAUCUAAGCUUUUUAUUUUUCUGGGAAGGCCGUGUGAAUGCUCAGGCAGCGCUGCAUAAAUCUACCAUUUUUGGAUAUUUCCCUCAAUAUGAAGAGGACAUACUCAUCUCCGGCACGUCUAUCGUUUGUCUCAUUAACUCCUGACAAGCCUGCGCCUGCUCUGUCUGCUACAGGAAGUGGACUGAUUAAGAACUCAUGACGCAACAGACGUUACGGUCCCCUUUCAAGAAUCAAAAAAAGACAGAAGCACGCAAGGUUUCCGACGCUCAGAUGAUGAUUUAGACUCGUCCAACAUCGCCCGUUUGCCUCGCUCUUCUACUGUCUCCUCCACCUUACUGCCCGUCUGUUGGCUGGGGAGCGCCCUAUAUCACCGAGUGAUGUCAGAGCAGCCCUCUCACAUGUGGUCUGAACUCCGGAGCUGAUGUUGAAGCCAACCUAUAAAGCUGUUCGCAGUAAUUUCAGCAGGUGGAGCAUCCCUGUGCCUCGUUUGGCCGCAGGAUGGAUCCCUUAUGCUGCUUUUUUUCAUGCAACAGACCCAUGGCGUUUUAUUUGAUAAAAUGUGUGGGAGAUAUGUGGAAAAAAAACACGUUAACACAAUUUCUAGUCAGAGGUUUACACACACACAUCAUGGACAUGAAUGUUGUUAACUUUGGACUUUUCAUGAUUUGUCUGAAACAUUUUUUUUCAUAAAUCCUGGAACUUUUAUGGUUUCUAAAAACAAAAGCUGUAUACAUGUUUCUAACUUGGCUUCUUAUACUUAUCAUGACUGACUGAUGGAGGCAGUUAAUCUUUGUCAAUCUAAAAUGUUUUGCUUGACAGGACUCAUAAGACUGACCAAAUCUCAGAAAGAUAAGAAAGGAAACAAGUUCCAGGGUACUUAGUUAGGAUCUAAGAAAAAGACUUGUAGUUAUACAAUUUGGUAAAGGCGUCUGAAGACAUUAAAAAUGCAGAUUUAAAAAUCAUCACAAUUGCACACAAGGUACAAGUUAUUUAGAUGUGUCAUCACAUGCCAAGGUCCGGAAGAAGAUUUCAGCUAUCACCCUCAAAUAAGACAAAGUUGAUUCGAAUAGGCAGGAAGAACCCAGCCCCCAUCAAAUGUUUGGAGAAGUCAAGGUGAGGCUUUCAGAUCUAAAAAAUACUGUAGCAACUGUCAGGCAUGGUGGUGGCACCACCAUGCUGUCGGGGUGUUUCUCUGACAGUGGUACUUGUGCAUAGCACAAUAUCACUCAGAAUCAGAACCAGUUUUAUUCACAAAGUGUAUGCACACAAACAAAGAAUCCGACUUUGGUUUCACUUUGUUCUUAAUCAAGACUUUUUAAAUCUCAAUAUAUAAAAACAAUUGUUGGCAAAUAAAAAAAGUUUUUUUUAGUUUUUUGUAAAUAUGUACAUUGUUUUUACAAAACGGGAAUGAGUAAGGGGGUCAUCCAAAUUAUUUAACUGUGUAACUGUGACCCCUGUAUGGGUUAGAAAAAAUCUAUAAUAAAUUCAAACUUUUCCAUCCAA